UACGUAGGGCGCAAGCGUUGUCCGGAAUUAUUGGGCGUAAAGAGCUCGUAGGCGGUUUGUCGCGUCUGCUGUGAAAACCUAAGGCUCAACCUUGGGCGUGCGGGCGAUACGGGCAGACUGGAGUACUGCAGGGGAGACUGGAAUUCCUGGUGUAGCGGUGAAAUGCGCAGAUAUCAGGAGGAACACCGGUGGCGAAGGCGGGUCUCUGGGCCGAUACUGACGCUGAGGAGCGAAAGCGUGGGGAGCGAACAGG
RNAcentral lists this ribosomal RNA (253 nucleotides) under uncultured bacterium. RNAcentral describes it as "partial 16S ribosomal RNA". It matches the Rfam family "Bacterial small subunit ribosomal RNA", at positions 524 to 776 of the family's 1533-position model. The record is from RNAcentral.